Molecule: ribosomal RNA, 499 nt
Filed under: uncultured bacterium
Lineage: Bacteria
Description: partial 16S ribosomal RNA
Rfam family: Bacterial small subunit ribosomal RNA
Source: RNAcentral
AUUGAACGCUGGCGGAAUGCUUUACACAUGCAAGUCGAACGGCAGCACGGACUUCGGUCUGGUGGCGAGUGGCGAACGGGUGAGUAAUGUAUCGGAACGUGCCCAGUCGUGGGGGAUAACGUAGUGAAAAUUACGCUAAUACCGCAUACGAUCUAUGGAUGAAAGCGGGGGUCGCAAGACCUCGCGGGAUUGGAGCGGGCGAGAUCAGAUUAGGUAGUUGGUGGGGUAAAGGCCCACCAAGCCAACGAUCUGUAGCUGGUCUGAGAGGACGACCAGCCACACUGGAACUGAGACACGGUCCAGACUCCUACGGGAGGCAGCAGUGGGGAAUUUUGGACAAUGGGCGAAAGCCUGAUCCAGCCAUUCCGCGUGCAGGAUGAAGGCCCUCGGGUUGUAAACUGCUUUUGUACAGAACGAAAAGGUUUCUACUAAUACUAGGAGCUCAUGACGGUACUGUAAGAAUAAGCACCGGCUAACUACGUGCCAGCAGCCGCCGUAA